CACAAAUGAACAAAAGGAAAAAAAAGAGACAAACCAAGAAAGAGACUCUUAACUAUAGAGAACUGAGGGUUACCAGAAAAGAGAUGGGUAGAGAGAAGGAUUAAAUAGGUGAUGGGGAUUAAAGAGUACACUUGUGAUGAAUGGAAUUCACACCAGGUGAUGCAUGGAAUUGUUGACUCAGUAUAUUGUACACCUGAAACUAAUAUAACACUGUAUGUUAACUAUACUAGAAUUAAAAUUAAAUUAAAAAAUGCAAGAAAAUUCU
Molecule: long non-coding RNA, 265 nt
Organism: Herpailurus yagouaroundi (jaguarundi)
Lineage: Eukaryota; Metazoa; Chordata; Mammalia; Carnivora; Felidae
Exons: 3
Source: RefSeq, a predicted model, not a curated record